GGUCAGUUGUCCCGGGUGCCUCCUGGAACUCCCACUCGUCAGAACUCCCGCCGGUCGGAGGGGGACUUAGGAGGCGGGUCGGGUCUGCAGCGCCGAGGGUCUGGGAAGGACAAGACCCGCCUGCUCCCGUCCAACGGCACCCAGUCGCAGCCUUAGCAACGGGUCGCUGGAGGAAGGAUCGCCUUGGCGACGGGGAUCGCCUUGGCGACGGGGCCCACAGAGAAAAACCACGGAGCCCCCCCUCUCCCCUCACCCCCCUCUUACAGAGAAAGACGGAGCGAUCGGCGAUCUGCAGCGGCCUGGCCGCGGACCGAGAUCGGGAGGUGACCCCUCCCCCCGAAUCAAGGACCCCACGGAAAUUCGGCGAUGGGGCGCUCUGACUCCCCGCCCCCAUCGCUGCUCGCUUGUGCAUCUGCAGGACACACUGGGGACCCCAUCCCCCGUCGUGGGGCGACUGCACUGUACUGCACCCCUCAAAGAGCAGGACGGCGCCAGAGACUGAAGACGGGAGAAAAGCCAAAUGAGCAGGGCCUGCUGACCUGCGCCCUCUGACCCCUGACCCCUGACCCCCAGCACCUCCAUGACUGAGGGGCGUCACACCCUGCCCCUGGAAGGCCGGGUGUCUUGGGGUCUGUCGUCAAUUAAGUCAUUAUUGCGUCAAUUGGGAUGAAUUCCUGCUCAAAGACAGGCCUGGAGACGAGGCGCCCCUUGCGCCCGGGCGAACGUCUCGCCUCUCUUCCCCGGGGGCGCGAGAGGAAGGCGCCAGCGUGGCGGCGCAGCGGAGCAGGAACUCGCGGGGCUGCCGGGCUCGGGCUGUGGGCAGAGCGCCCCCGGUGGCCACUCUGUGAGUCCAGUCCAGGCCCCCCGUCCUGCCCCGCGGCCCCGCCAGCAGGACGUCAUCCAGCUCCCCUGGGCUCGGGGGCCCCCUGGCUGCGCCCCUUCCCUGACCCGGGCUUCUGCCCCCGCUCCGCGGUCUUCAG
Molecule: long non-coding RNA, 980 nt
Filed under: Lepisosteus oculatus (spotted gar)
Lineage: Eukaryota; Metazoa; Chordata; Actinopteri; Semionotiformes; Lepisosteidae
Description: lncRNA (ENSLOCG00000021320.1)
Source: RNAcentral